CAAUCUCUGCGAUCCAUUUUACCACAGACCUCGUUAUGUAUCACAAGCAAGAAUACAUGGAAGGAGGCUAGAGAAGAUCGUCCCUUUACAUGAGAGAGGGCGAUUCAAGUCUGGAGGAGCCAUUUAUGCUUUCCCAUGGUUUAAUCUCUGUCAGAUGAGUUUCCCGCUUAUGCUUCUCCUAAAAUCUCUCCCAGAUAUUCAAAUUCCCCGCUCCCUCUCAUUGUAAAUGGUAUUAAAUUUCUUUUCAUAUCUGAAAUCUUCAAAUUCAUGGUCACUUUUAUCGUAGAAUUUUGUGUGUGUUGUUUCAAAUUUUAAAAAUCUCCAAUCUAGGGUUUCUUUCUGCAAAAGAAAAAAAAAUGGACAUUAAAUGGGUUGAGAUUUUGGAUGAAGACAGAAAUUUCCACAAAUGUUGGUUGGCUUCCCAAGAUUCAACUUAAAGACCUAGUGUUGAAAUGGUAGAAGACAAACGAAGCUGUAAGGGAUGUUGCAAUUGGUUGAAUUUUACCCCAGAAAAUAUAUCUGUAUGAACUCUUCUGUUGGUAAGUAUGAUAAAGAUGUUUUGGGUCUUGUGUGAUGGUAAGUUUGUGAUGAAAAGACAAUAAAAAAAUGCCCCCUUCCUUGUAUUCAAGCAUGAGCUAUGUAUAAACCAUCAAAACUAAUAGUGUAUGCCUUCAGAAAUUCUUGAAGUAAUGAUAAUUAAUAUGUACUUUUGUGAUG
Cynara cardunculus var. scolymus (artichoke) is the source of this 717-nucleotide long non-coding RNA. RefSeq lists it as uncharacterized. The transcript is spliced from 2 exons. Lineage: Eukaryota; Viridiplantae; Streptophyta; Magnoliopsida; Asterales; Asteraceae. The record is from RefSeq and is a predicted model, not a curated record.